RNAcentral lists this long non-coding RNA (1085 nucleotides) under Vulpes vulpes (red fox). Its description in RNAcentral is "lncRNA (ENSVVUG00000019213.1)". The record is from RNAcentral. Lineage: Eukaryota; Metazoa; Chordata; Mammalia; Carnivora; Canidae.
AGAGAAAGAAAGGGAUACUACCAGUGGGGGGAGGGAGAAGGACAAGCCCAAUCCAUGCUGAAUGUAGAGCCUGAUAUGGGGUUUGAUCUCACGACCCUCAGAUCACAGCCUGAGCCAAAAUCAAGAGUUGUAAGCUUAACCAACUGAGCCACUACUUUUUAAACAAAUGGUAAGCAAGCCUGUUCCUUGUCUGGGGGAAAUACACAUACCUCAUUGUCUCAGAAGAGACUGGAAGUUCAGUUCUGUCCUGGACUAGAAACUAGACUACAGGGCAUCUGCACUCACUCCCAACUCUGGUAUGCUAAGGUCUCGGAUUGAAAAUUGUGCUUUCCUGUUGAGUUAUAAGAGUUUCUAAUUCAAUCACCGUUUUUAAACAGGCUUAUGAAGAUAGUUUUUUUCAGUAAUAAAUUUCAUGUGAUUUCUGGUUCUGAGAACCUCAUUCUGCCUGAGGCCAAAAAGUUAAGACAAAAUGAGUAAAAUUCAGCGACUUCACAGAUAUUGUAGUUUAACACACAAUCAGACUGGGAUGCCCUCCCCCUUUCCCUGGGGUUUGAAGCUCCUGUGGCUGGCACAAAUGUGGUAGAAUGAGUGAGCAUGGGGAUAGGAAGACAUUCACUUCCUGAUAUGCUUAGGAUAGAGGCUGGCUGCCUAUUCCACAUGUCACUCUUGUCAUGUACAAACAGGCCAUAUGCAAGAUCUCCUUGGAUCAACAGUGAAGUCAUGAGAAAAAGAGGAGAGCACAGAAGGUAUUGCACAGACAUAAACAACAAUAAAUUGGCCAACCAUAAUCUUCAGGUUUGUUCCAUACACUGCCUAACUGGAAAGAAGAGCAAAGAAAUUCAGAGAGAACAAUGUCAAAAUCUGACUGAGAGCCAUGUAUUCAGUGUUUGGUUGAGCAGUGGUAUUGUGGCCUUAGGGUCCCUAUCACUGCUUGAGUUCCUCACAGCUUUGGGGGUCUUUCCAGUCCAUUGUGUUCUUAAAAAACUGGCCUCCCCUUCUUAACAUGACCUAAGUGUGGUCUUUGUACCUACAUAUCCAAAAGAGUAUAAUUUAAUAAACAGUGUAUUGGUAAAGUAUAAAGAACA